ACAUGGUUUUAAUUUUUCUGUUGGCUUAUUACUAGUGUUAAUUGUUUUUUACUGUUAAUUUCUUGCCUUUUGUUAUUCUGUUGAUUAAUUUAUUAUAUUGUUUUGUUUUCUUCUGUCAUGAUUAAAGCUGCUGCUUCGUAUUGUUUACAACUGUACUCACUGUGAUUUUAAUGGUAUCCAAUUUGGACUUCAUGGUUUAUACCCUUUACACAUCAACUGAUCUGUUUCACUUUCAUCUGGGCUCUAUUUACACUCUUUUCAUCAGUUUUUUUGGAUAUUCCGCCUGUAUUUUAAGCCUUACCAAGUGCCAUUAUUAACUUCUGCUUCUGUUGCUGUUGAUUUUAUUGUUGCUGAUCGUUAUUAUCAUAGUUUAUUCAACAUGAUCAUUAGACUACACAUUUUAAGCUAAUACUCGAGCUAAAUUAAUUAAAAAAGUUUCUCAUCUGAACAAUAUGUUGAACAAAGAAAGUCCCGAAUUAGGGUUUUUUCUGCACAUAUUCUGGUUGUUGCUGUUGUUUAUCCCAAUGAAUCAUUCUUGUCUCAUUGUUCGAGUUGAUUAAAUUUUUUGUUUUACUUUUUCAUUACAAUUUGACCAGAAACUUGUGAUUAAAAUUAAGAUAGACAGUUGAAUAGAGAAACUAAAUUCAUUCUCACCCCAUUAUCUUUCUCUUUUGAUUUAGUAACCUGUUUGUGCGUUAUCAACGUCACUCUUUUUUUAGAGCCAAACACAAUUAAUUGGUCACAACAACAGUAUUGAGCACAGUUUCCAAUUAUAAACUAUGAUAAUAAUGUGAUGCGAGAAAAAAAUCCAGACUCAAUGUUACAUAGAAAAUGUUGAUAGCAGUUGUAAACCUGAUUUCAAAAGGCUGGUUGGAAACAAAGGAAGAUAUUUUUUUUCUGGUCGAAUUGCAUUUGCAAGUGUGUUCAAUUUCAAAUUAAAGCUGGUAACUGUGAUCAUUAAAAAUGGAAGGUAUUCAUUAAUACAGACAAAAAAGCGUCCAUUGUUGAAAUAUCUGCAGAAUCAGAGAAACCAAUAUUUAACUGUAAUCUAUCAUAAAAGGUGGACAUUAACCCUCCAGAGGAUUUUGAUAGGAAGAGUCAACUUAAACAGUAUUUUAUGGUGCAUUGAAAUAAAUGUAAUCUUGCCUCAGUCAAAGUUAAACAAUUUCCAAGCCGUAAGCAUCACCAUCAUUAUCAUCAUCAAACUUUAUUUCUCAUCAUCCCUUUAUUUCACCAUCUUCUGUCAUCCCUCAGUUUUAUUUAUUUUGUGCUUUUUGGUGUUUUUUCCUGUGUUGAUGAAAAUCAUUUCAUCCCUUGCCAACAUGAUUUCAUCAUCUUUUUUACAACGCAACCACCAUCGCCAUCCUCAUCCUCAUCAUUACCAUCAUCUUUAAACUAGAAACAACAGAAAUUCAUUCAACCAUUUACAGCUUAUGUAAUAAAAUGGUUGUCCUAAUACUCUUUUCUUGUACUAUUUUGGCUUAAAAACAGAAACAGUAUCAUUUUUUGCAACACAUUUUUUCAGUUUUACUCUCAUCAAUUGGUCCACUCAAUGUUUAUCAAUCGUCCGAUUAACUUUACUGUUUUUGAUCACCUUCAUCUUCAUCCUCAUCUUCAUCCUUCUCCUCCUCUUUCUCAUCAUCAUUCGUGAUUAACAUAAAUAUUGAUGUAGUAUUUGGAGAAACAGAACGUUAAGAGGAUUUUUGUUCAAUAAAAUCGGAUAAAAUCACAUAUUUAGACAUUCAGAUUAGCUUCAAUUAAAAUUGUAAUAAAAGCUUAACAGAUGAAGAAAAAGAUUAACGUCAAAAAUGUAAAUGAUUAUUUUUUAAUUGAUUAUCUUUGAACAAAAAUCUUAUCCCAAAAGUGAAUUUAUAAUUUAAAAUAAUGGUAACAUUCAAUUUUAAACAUCAGUUUAACAUCAUUUUGCUAAAAUGAGAAACACGAUAACUUUUAAUUACAAUAAGUUUGAUUGUUGGGUUAGGCUUAGUCAAUUGUGACCAUUAAAUGAGAUUUAAUCACGAAAUGAUGAUUAAUAAUUUAUGAUAAAAUCUGUUGCAUCCAAACUCACUGUUGCAAUCAAAUUUUGCUUCAAUUGUUUCAAUUCUGUGAUGACAUUAUCAAAGUCAUUCCCAUACUGUUCAUCAUCAUCCUCCUCAUCCCUGUAACCAUCAAAACCGAACCUUUUCUCUCUCAUUUUCAGGUCGAUUUAUUGAUUCUUCAAAGUGAAAAUGUGUUUACCUAAGCAGAUAAGAAAUAUGAAAAAAAGUCAAAAAAUAAUCCACUGAAUCAGGAUGAUACUUGAAAAGCAAGAUGAACAAGAUGGAAUCAUAAAGGAAAGGUGAAUUUUGCUGAUGAAAAAAUGAAAGAACAGAAUAAUCUGUUAAAGUUGCUUGAUUAACCUGAAUUGUGAUUAUCAAGUUGAACCUCAAAUGGCUGUUUGAAAAUGUUUACACCACUGGAAGAGACUCGGGUUGAUGAUGUUUGUUGAACUUGGAAACAAGACUCAAUUGGUUAAUUGUCAACACUUACAUCAGAUAAUCAAGCUAAUUACAUUUUGAUUAAAAAAAGAGUAAAAAGUUGAUCUUGGAAAAUUUUCAAUGAAAUGUAUGGCUAAAAAAGACAAAGCGUAAACAAGUUAUCUUCCUCUGCCAGUCGCUGUUUCCAUCUGAAUAAAAGGGAGAAAAAGACAGGAUUUUCCUUCCCUUCAUCAUCAACAUCCUCAUCAUACUCAUUCUCAUUCUCAUCAUCAUCUUUUGAGCUGUUAUUGCUUGAUGAGGAUAAAUUCUUUACACACUCGAUUUCCCCUAAAGACUCUUUUCUUGAUCCAGAGAGAUAAAAAGCCUUGGAUGGUUAAGAAGAUAAUGUUAUAUAUAUAUAUAUUUUUAUAUGUAUUAUGCCAAUGGCUGGGAGUAAAGAUGAUGGGGAGGAUGAGAAGGGAUAAGAUGAUAAAGACUGGUAGGCGAAUGAAUCCAUUCUCAAGAGAAUCCAUCAUCUUCUUUAGUCAAAAUGGCGUCAUGUUCGAACCUUUUUCAAGGGCAAAUUCAUCGAGUUAUGUACAUUUACAUAAAUGGCGGAGUAAAAGAAAAGAGCAACAACAACAAGAAUAAUAUGGAGAACAAAAAAGUAGCUGAUAAGCUGAAUUGUAUAGAGAAAUGAAUAUUCUGGUGAAGGCAAAUAUUUUUCAGUUUACUGUUUCACCAUUUUCCUCUAAAUGAUGGUUCACAAGAAUGUUGCUUAUUGAAUGCAAGUAAAUUUAACAGUCAAUUCGUUGAUUUUGUCAAUUUCAUACCAAUGGAAAAGAGAAUAUAUUUUCUUCCUUUUAUUCGCCAUCAAUCUUGAAAUGUUCAUUCAAAAAGGAUAUUGAAAAACAAAAAUUGAUUUCCAGGCAAUAAUUUACAAUCCCAUUGGAUGCCAACUCUACAAGAUAAGUUCAGUUUUUUGUGUAAACCUACCAGUUCCAUUGACUUGUUUUGAUUGACUAAAUAUAAAGACAUAAUUUUCGUUAUUUUCCUCUAUUAUAGUGACAAGGAAUUGAUAAAAAGUCAGUUUUAUUGGAGGUGAUAAAUUCAAUGGUUAAAGUUGAUUCGAUCCCAAUAAACAUUCCAGUUUAUUCAAAUUUACAUGUUGGCCAAAAUUUGGAUUCUCAGCUUAAUCAUGGAGAUUGAAGUCAACUUGAAGCUAAUCAUAUUCAAGUUGCUUGUUGGACCCAAUCUAACUAUUAGAAUUGAUUUGUUGACUUUUAAUGUUUAGAGGCUUCAAACAUUUUGACAUUUUAAUCAAAAUUCACCCAAAUUCUUGCAUUAUUAACAGUCAGUUGAUAAUCUUGACCGAUUUGACUGAGUUUGAGUAAAAAUGUUUAACAAAAUUAUCAAUACGCUCAACAUUACCUUGGAAAAACUGAUUUGAUCUAAAAUCACGAAAAGAUGAUCAACAUGAAGUUGAUUUGAUGCUAAUAAACAUUUCAUUGAAUGCUUGUCCAGCAUUUGAAAUGGACAAGUUUACAAGAAGAUGGUUUUUCCAGGUAAAUUGAAUUGGAACAAAAGGAACAAGGAAAAGGCAUAAAUCUUGAUUUUGACCAUUUCUUUCAUUACCUUUGCUCUUUUUACCUCCAACAUGAUAUUUACAUUUACCUCUAAAGCUGAAUAGCAAAAGAGAAGCGCAAAGUUUCCUUUUUUUCCUCACACAUUUCAAUUUCUAAUUCGAUUGAAUAGAAAAUGAAUGUUCUUUUGGAGAGAAAUUUCAUUUUCUCUUUCAAUUGAUGGUGUAAACCAAUUUCAUUUGACAUGAUCAAAUGAGCUCAUCAUCAAGUCAGGUCACAUUUUGAUUAAAAACGGAAACGGAUUAUCAGACGACUGAAAAUCUCAUAAUAACUAAACAGUAUUUUUCAUGACACAAUGAAUUUCAUUGUCUAUUAACAGUGUUCAAUGGAGAUACAUGAAAGAAUCCAAUAUCUUUCCGUUUCUUCAUCUUUACAUGAUGAAAAUAAUCUCAUUAAUGAUAAUCUUAUUUACUUAAUAAGAGGUUUUGCUGUUGCUCAUUCAUUGUGAGGAAAACUGAGCCAAGAAAAGGUCGUAAAAAAAGGUUGAAUAACAUGAUACAAAAUUGUUAAUUAAUCUUGCAAUUUAGAUGAACAUUGGAACAAUUUUCUUGCUCAUUCAUGGCAAUUUAUGAAAAAUAGAUUAUUCCAAUUCUGUUAUUAAAUCUGUUUAAAUGUUCUUCUUCAGGCAUUUCUUUUGGUUCCUCUAAUUAUGAUGGAUGAAAAUGAAAGGAUGGAAUUGAAAAAAUAGAUAAAACCUGGAUUAAUGUUGAGGAAUGGUGGAAACUAUUGAAUUUGAUGAUUAUCAUGCUGUGUGUUCAUGUUUUUUUUUCAACAAAACUAUCAGCUUUGGUUAUCAGCUUUAGCUGUUUGUGCUUUGAAUAAACAAAUGAAAGGAAAAUAAAGGAAGGAACAGAAAAAUUGUUCAGUAAUUUUUUCUUCUUUUUUCUCUCCUUUCUCUCAUCAAACAUGAAAAAUGUGUGAAAAUGAAAUAACAGGGUGAAAAUGAUGGCAUAACUGAAUCAAUAUUUUUGAUUGAAGCCAACAUUUAAAAGGUGUUUUUGUUGAAGCAAAACAAAGUCAAAUGAUUAGUUGACCAAAAGGUUAGUUGAACAAUUUUUUACUUCAAAAUCUCCAGACAAAACACAGUCAAGUCCAACGGAAUUCCCAGUGAAUAUCGAUUCAAUCUUAACGAGUGAUUCGUGAUGAAACGAUGAAACCUUUUCACUUCAAAAUCUAUUCUUAACUGUUGUUUAUCAUUGAAAGAGUUGCCUUAGACAUUGGUUUAAUGAGAAGAAAACUUUGCAUGAAAAACACAAAAUCCAUUCAACUUGAUUGAAGACUUGAGAUUUCAUUUUCUUAUGGAAAAGCACAAAACGAAUGCAAAAUUAGCUUAAUUUUCAUUAAAUGUUUCCCAUUUUUAAAGCAACAACUCAAAGCUUGGCUCAAUAUUUCAUGACCAAACAAGAGAUUUUUUGGAAAAAUUCAAUUCUCUGCCAAUUCUGUCCAUUUGUUUCAUCUGCAGCUUUUAGUCAACAUUACAAGUGAUUUAAGCAUCAAACUCAAUCUCCAUAAAGGAAUGAAGCUAAAGCUUAAAAAUAAAUUUCGGUUGAAAUUUGAAUGAAUAACUGAAACAGCUUUUGUUAGACAUUUUCUGAUUAUUUGGCUUAAGUUAUAAUGAAAUGAAUUGAAAUCAACUUGAACCCAAAUUUGAAUGUUGCUAAAGUGCUUUAAUAAUCGAUUGAUUUUCCAUUUUAUUGCGCUUCUAAAGAUGAAAAUGGAUGAGAGUCUGGAGAGACAAUAUUAAAGGUUUUGAUGUAGAGUUUUGAAGAGGAUUAGAAUGGGAAAUGGACAAAGAAGAUGAGGAGAAGAUGAUUAUUAUGAUGAGAAUGAAAGGAAAUUUAAAUUUAAUAA
Tetranychus urticae (two-spotted spider mite) is the source of this 5950-nucleotide long non-coding RNA. RefSeq lists it as uncharacterized. The record is from RefSeq and is a predicted model, not a curated record. Lineage: Eukaryota; Metazoa; Arthropoda; Arachnida; Trombidiformes; Tetranychidae.